ACUGUGCAAGGUGUGAUAGUUUGGGAAGGAAGUGAUUUUUUCAAGAAAGUUAUAGCAAACCCAAUCAGACUUUAGGUUUGAAUACUGACAUUUGGUAUAGCCAUUAGAAAGACGAUACGCCUCCGGGAACACACAGGGUUAAAAUCAGAGAACCCCUGGGGAAAGCUCUCUUUCUUCCGCCCUUGGAAAGAGCAGGGAUACCCUCUGCUGGACCAGGAAAAAUGCAUAUGCAUUUGUAUGAUGGUGCUCUGGCCGAGGAAGGAGUGGAUGCACCCCCUGGCCUGGUUUGAAGACUCGCCAUGACCUAUGAGGAGUCUGAAUGGAAUGGGAGCCAGCCAGCUGAAGUGACUGAGACAGAGAACGGGAAACUCUCGAGGUUUUUCCCUGAGGGUAAAGAGCUGAGCCUGCACUCCAGUGACAGACUGUCCCUGCUCUGCCUUCUGAUGGUUGACCAGAGAGAGCUUCUAGCUGUUCCUAUGGGAACAAGGACUCGGCAUCUACUGUUUGCAAUGGGGUGAUGAACUGGGACAGCACCUGCUGCUUCGGAUUGCUACAGCAGCAUGGAAAACUCCUGCCGGAUCCUACCAUCCAGCUGAUGACUUUUUAUUAAAGAGUUGAUCACUUUAAUAAAGAGCUGAAUAUUAAUAAAGGCAUAUGCCCUGUACUUUUCAGUUUCA
Prinia subflava (tawny-flanked prinia) is the source of this 677-nucleotide long non-coding RNA. RefSeq lists it as uncharacterized. The transcript is spliced from 2 exons. The record is from RefSeq and is a predicted model, not a curated record. NCBI's taxonomy places the organism in Eukaryota, Metazoa, Chordata, Aves, Passeriformes, Cisticolidae.